GGAGUUUUGGGCUACCACUUAGAAAGGAAAUGCCUCAUUCGUCAACUCCCUUGAUCGGAGACUUGGGGGACUCCUACCAUAUGCUACUGCAUCUUGAUACUCGGAAGUCUCACGACCAUUCAGUGACUUGGAUUUUUCAAGUCUCCAACCGAGAAGUUUUCCUCACUCAGGAAAUUAAGGGAGCAUUACCUCACCAUACAUGCUUCACUCACAAAGCUUCAACAUACAAGGUUCAACA
This 238-nucleotide long non-coding RNA is filed under the name Malus domestica (apple). RNAcentral describes it as "long non-coding RNA (MDOM_LNC004690)". The record is from RNAcentral. Lineage: Eukaryota; Viridiplantae; Streptophyta; Magnoliopsida; Rosales; Rosaceae.